UACGUAGGGUGCGAGCGUUGUCCGGAAUUAUUGGGCGUAAAGGGCUCGUAGGCGGUUUGUCGCAUCGGGAGUGAAAACCAUGGGCUUAACUCAUGGCUUGCUUUCGAUACGGGCAGACUAGAGGUAUGCAGGGGAGAACGGAAUUCCUGGUGUAGCGGUGAAAUGCGCAGAUAUCAGGAGGAACACCGGUGGCGAAGGCGGUUCUCUGGGCAUGAUCUGACGCUGAGGAGCGAAAGUGUGGGGAGCGAACAGG
RNAcentral lists this ribosomal RNA (253 nucleotides) under uncultured bacterium. Its description in RNAcentral is "partial 16S ribosomal RNA". It matches the Rfam family "Bacterial small subunit ribosomal RNA", at positions 524 to 776 of the family's 1533-position model. The record is from RNAcentral.